Molecule: ribosomal RNA, 508 nt
Filed under: uncultured bacterium
Lineage: Bacteria
Description: bacterial SSU rRNA
Rfam family: Bacterial small subunit ribosomal RNA
Source: RNAcentral
GACGAACGCUGGCGGCGUGCCUAAUACAUGCAAGUCGAACGCACUCUCGUUUAGAUUGAAGGAGCUUGCUCCUGAUUGAUAAACAUUUGAGUGAGUGGCGGACGGGUGAGUAACACGUGGGUAACCUGCCCUAAAGUGGGGGAUAACACUUGGAAACAGAUGCUAAUACCGCAUAAAACCCAACACCGCAUGGUGUAGGGUUGAAAGAUGGUUUCGGCUAUCACUUUAGGAUGGACCCGCGGUGCAUUAGUUAGUGGUGAGGUAAAGGCUCACCAAGACCGUGAUGCAUAGCCGACCUGAGAGGGUAAUCGGCCACACUGGGACUGAGACACGGCCCAGACUCCUACGGGAGGCAGCAGUAGGGAAUCUUCCACAAUGGACGAAAGUCUGAUGGAGCAACGCCGCGUGAGUGAAGAAGGUUUUCGGAUCGUAAAACUCUGUUGUUGGAGAAGAAUGUAUCUGAUAGUAACUGAUCAGGUAGUGACGGUAUCCAACCAGAAAGCCACGG